This 343-nucleotide long non-coding RNA is filed under the name Mus caroli (Ryukyu mouse). RNAcentral describes it as "lncRNA (MGP_CAROLIEiJ_G0004398.1)". The record is from RNAcentral. Lineage: Eukaryota; Metazoa; Chordata; Mammalia; Rodentia; Muridae.
CGAGGAGAAUGGGGCUCAAGGCCAGAGCAUGAGAGGGGCAGAAACACAGUUACCGGCGGCGAGUCUUUCAUGAAGGCUAUGGGGCAUGUGGAGAUUCCAGGGGCACGCAAUCACUGGCACAUUAAACAGCACCUCUGCAGGAAGUGUUUCAUGGGGCAGUAGAAGGGCUGCAGACAAGCAAGAAGACUGAAAGGCCUGAAAGCCUAUACCAAAGGCAACACUCUGAUGGUGUGCACAGGAGGAGGAGACUAUCGCUGUGAUGCCGCACACUGAGCCAAAGGGAAAGAGCUCGUCCAAGUGAAAUGUCAGUGAUUGGAAGCAGGUGAUGCCGACAGAAAGGUAC